UAGGGAAUCUUCCACAAUGGGCGAAAGCCUGAUGGAGCAACGCCGCGUGUGUGAUGAAGGGUUUCGGCUCGUAAAACACUGUUGUAAGAGAAGAAUGACAUUGAGAGUAACUGUUCAAUGUGUGACGGUAUCUUACCAGAAAGGGACGGCUAACUACGUACCAG
This 164-nucleotide ribosomal RNA is filed under the name uncultured bacterium. RNAcentral's name for it is "partial 16S rRNA". It matches the Rfam family "Bacterial small subunit ribosomal RNA", at positions 355 to 511 of the family's 1533-position model. The record is from RNAcentral.